AACGAACGCUGGCGGCAUGCCUAACACAUGCAAGUCGAACGAGACCUUCGGGUCUAGUGGCGCACGGGUGCGUAACGCGUGGGAACCUGCCUUUAGGUUCGGAAUAACUCAGAGAAAUUUGAGCUAAUACCGGAUGAUGUCUUCGGACCAAAGAUUUAUCGCCUUUAGAUGGGCCCGCGUUGGAUUAGCUAGUUAGUGGGGUAAAGGCCUACCAAGGCGACGAUCCAUAGCUGGUCUGAGAGGAUGAUCAGCCACACUGGGACUGAGACACGGCCCAGACUCCUACGGGAGGCAGCAGUGGGGAAUAUUGGACAAUGGGCGAAAGCCUGAUCCAGCAAUGCCGCGUGAGUGAUGAAGGCCUUAGGGUUGUAAAGCUCUUUUACCCGAGAUGAUAAUGACAGUAUCGGGAGAAUAAGCUCCGGCUAACUCCGUG
Molecule: ribosomal RNA, 433 nt
Filed under: uncultured bacterium
Lineage: Bacteria
Description: partial 16S ribosomal RNA
Rfam family: Bacterial small subunit ribosomal RNA
Source: RNAcentral